AUUCCGUAGGUGAACCUGCGGAGGGAUCAUUACCGAGUUAUACAACUCAUCAACCCUGUGAACAUACCUAAAACGUUGCUUCGGCGGGAACAGACGGCCCUGUAACAACGGGCCGCCCCCGCCAGAGGACCCCUAACUCUGUUUUUAUAAUGUUUUUCUGAGUAAACAAGCAAAUAAAUUAAAACUUUCAACAACGGAUCUCUUGGCUCUGGCAUCGAUGAAGAACGCAGCGAAAUGCGAUAAGUAAUGUGAAUUGCAGAAUUCAGUGAAUCAUCGAAUCUUUGAACGCACAUUGCGCCCGCCAGUAUUCUGGCGGGCAUGCCUGUUCGAGCGUCAUUACAACCCUCAGGCCCCCGGGCCUGGCGUUGGGGAUCGGCGGAAGCCCCCUGUGGGCACACGCCGUCCCUCAAAUACAGUGGCGGUCCCGCCGCAGCUUCCAUUGCGUAGUAGCUAACACCUCGCAACUGGAGAGCGGCGCGGCCAUGCCGUAAAACACCCAACUUCUGAAUGUUGACCUCGAAUCAGGUAGGAAUACCCGCUGAACUUAAGCAUAUCAAUAAG
Molecule: ribosomal RNA, 561 nt
Filed under: Fusarium sp. HLL003
Lineage: Eukaryota; Fungi; Ascomycota; Sordariomycetes; Hypocreales; Nectriaceae
Description: eukaryotic LSU rRNA
Rfam family: 5.8S ribosomal RNA (bases 183-336)
Source: RNAcentral